AAGGUGCCCAUGAUAAAUACUGUUAUCUUCCCGUGGUGUUAGAUUGCUGCUUGCCUUUCUGCAGGCAAGCAAGAAGCAAGGCUAGUGAACCCCCUUUAGUGCAGCCUCAGCAAACAUGAAUUUGAUUAUAGAAACAUGAAAAGUCUGCAGGGCUCUGUAGUAUUGUCUCCCUUGGCUGUGCCUAAGACAGGCACAGGGAAGAACUUGCACUUCUUCCCUUUAAAACCCUUUCAAAUUAUACAGUAGUUAACUGAAAUACCUAAAUAGCCUUUGGCACAAGGACAAGAACCAGGACUCACAUGAGAUAACACACAAAAGAAUCCUUCCACCACUGUUUUUCAGUAAAAGACUUUAAACAGCAUUGUUGUUUCUUCUUGGUGCUGUUAUGUGCUGGAUUUUGGAAACAGAAUGUGGCUUGGGCCACCUUUAUCUCUUCUCCUCUGGCCUUUGGCAUUUUCCCAUUCACAGUGCUCCAGUGGGUGACAAAGUCCACACUUCUGACAGGACUGCCCUAUGGGGUCAGGAUGGUGCAACGAGGAAGUAAGCCCUGUUGCAUGACUCCAGCUGAUUACACGACACAGCUGGGAAAACUUAUUGCAGCCUGCCACAGUCUUCCUGUGCAUCAGUGGGACACUUACAGAGGGACAAUGAACCCAGAUGUCUCAGCAUUCAAAAGGCAACCUGCACUCUCCUCUUUAUAGUGGUUUCCAGGAGACGGAUACUGCCAGAGUACUCGUGUGUUUUCCUGGUGAUGACUUCAUCCCAUUCUUCUUCAGACAGAAGAGAAAGGCCAGCAUCUUUGUUUUGAUAACUCUUCUUACCUGGAAAGAGCCAAGGCAGACUGAAUGAUUUCUACUUCCCCUCUACCAAAACAGUAGCUUUUACUGAGUCUAAAUAAACUGGUGAAGGGAAGGACAGCAUCUAAUCUGGAGACUUUCACCCUGCAAGCAUUAACACAGGCUCAGUGCAUUGCUGAGUGCUCUCGUUUUGGCUACUGCGGAUUCCUUAACUGAUUUUUUUAUACAUAAAAAACAAAGCAGAGAUAAGUAUUUCCUGCUGUUAGUCCUGCUGUGCUACUGUAAAAUGACAGAAUUACUGGUCAGUAGACGUUAAAAUUAGGGUAAUUUUCC
Molecule: long non-coding RNA, 1130 nt
Organism: Cygnus olor (mute swan)
Lineage: Eukaryota; Metazoa; Chordata; Aves; Anseriformes; Anatidae
Exons: 6
Source: RefSeq, a predicted model, not a curated record